AAGACGAGAGCGAGCGGAGUCUCUGAGAUUUCUGAUGGAGGAUGAAUUUGUCCGAAAAGAUCUGAAACAGCUGCGUAGUCUCUCAUAGAGUAUGGUUCCUCUCAUGGUCUCUCAGGCUCCUUCUCAUCCAGGACAAACACAGGAACACAAACACCUCCUCCUCCCCUCUCCUCCUGUAAUGACGGCUCUGCAAUGCUUCGCCACUUGUCUCCUCACUCCUUCCCAUCCUUGUUAGCGGUGCUAGCCUUGACCUUGACAACCAAGCAGGCUGCCAUCACAGCUCAUUAACAUUAACAACAGUCUGCCUGGUGUGAACUGCCGGCUAUGGGAACCUUCUGGACUUUUAUGGCUCCAAUUGGCUGUCAGGUCCUAACAUGUGGAAAGAGGAAGUUGUAUUAUCUUCACUGCUCAGCUAAUGGUAGGCUGCAUUCAUGUUAGAAAUGCCUCACGGUGUGCAGCGGUUAACACCCACAUGUGGAACAGCGCGGCAACAAAUUGUGCCUGAACGCUGAGAAAACUGGAGCCUACAUUUCCCCCCAAAACUCCCAGAAACUGAACCGAUUUUGAUCUGAACUGGGCUGAAAGUAAACCCACUUUACCUUCUUCUGUAUUAUCUUAAUGCAUGACGUCAAGAACAUGCUUAAAAGUGCAACAUAGACUGUUUUAACUGUGUUUAAGCUGCAAAAACUCAAAUGUUGGCAACAGAGUUUGUCUUAUUUUAGUGAAAAUAUUUAACAAGACUCAACAUAAAGUCCAGAUUUGUGGUUUGAUCUCAGGUCAAAAAAUAAGACCUGAAAUGCUUUUUAUAAGUAAAAAUAUCUGCCAGAGAAAAGUUGACUUAUUAUACGUCUUUUAAUCUGGAUAAUUUGUUGUUAAAAACAGGGAGAAGUCUGAGGUAGUUUAUUAGGUACUAUUUUCACUUUUGGGGGUCUAGAACAUUUCAAAAGGCAUGUCAACUCCUCUGAAUUAAAAUGAUAUCCCCAAACAUGCUUAACUUUAUCCAGAAAUCACUUUAAAACAAGGUUUAAUGAAGCACUUUCACAGACAUGCAAACAAAUCCAACAGCACAAAAGAUAAUCGCAAUCUAACUGAAAAAUCAAGAUCAUUACCAAACUUAUCUGAAUAAAAAGGAGAAAAAAAGUCAGAUAUGUACCUAAAAUAUAUUCCCUUAGUACUUUAAAUAUGUCUUUUUACUCUAAAACAUUUCUGUGAAAUAGAAAGAAAGACGAAUGAUAGAGUGAAUGUUGAUAUUUAAGUACCGGUUGUAAAUUCAGUGUUAUAGACCUUAAACUUCAUAGUCUUUUAUUGUCCGAAGAGUCUCAAACUACAGAAUAUUUUUAUAAAAGAUAAAAAAACAGAGUCUUGUAUUAAAGUGACAUUUGAACCCCCCCUCUCUGUAUCUUAUCUGCUUCCUUUCCCUUUUUUCGGAGGUCCUUCAGAUUUACAUUCCAGCCACCGUCAGACAUUCUGAAAUCUAUAAACACCGUCUUACAGGUGCACACUCUGUGACAGGAUGUUCAGAUAGUCCUCCAGCUCCUUUUGAACAAAUAGUUCAGAUAAGUAUGAAGCACAAGAAGCCACUCAAUGAACUAAAUCAGGAGUUGAACGUUGAUUAAAUGGAUUCAUUUGGGUCUGCGGGGCCAAACAAAAACAUCCAGAGUCAACAACCACGACAAAAAUCACACAAACAAACAGAGAGCUGGUUUUUAGCAGGUCGCUAAAGGUCGUUUCCCAGUGGAACGAUGACAUAAUACACCAAAACAGUCGACAAGAAAAAAAAAGACCCAAUUGCAGAAUAUAAGGUGAUUUAAUGAAAAAAUAACUAAAUAAAAAGCAACAAAAACCCUCUUAUAAUGUCCAACUCAAAAAUCCCAAGAAACACAGGAGGCAAAAUCUAAAUAAUUAAAAAAAUCUAAAAUCCAACAAAAGACAAAGACACUGAGGGAAAAAAAACACAUGGAGACAUUGACGUGCAGACUUACAACAUAAAUCCACAAAAUGAACCAAAGAAAGAAACAGGGGAAGAGAAGGACUUUAUAUACAAACACAGGGAAACGAGAAACGAGAGGCAGGUGAGGCACUGAGACACAGGUGAGGACGAUUACAGAGGAGGGAUAACUGAGGAAGUAAAACAAGGGAAUGAACUACUACAAAAUAAAACAGGAAACACUGAAAACUGAUAAUAGAGAAUAAACACUGAGAACAUGAGGGAACUGGGGUCACAAGACAAGACUACAGGGGAACAGAAACACAAGGGAAAAUUCACUCAAAUCACAGGGAAAAACUCAAUAAAGAGAACACAUAGUGACAGAUACAACUUUCACUCGGUCUGAUCUGGUUCACCUCCUUUAUGCCGGGAUUGGUGAGACCCUCCACUGUGACAUCAAAAACCUAAAAUCCCAAAAACCUAUGGAUCUAAAUUUAAGCUUCAAAACCCUUUGAGCUAGAGCUUCUGCUUUAUAUAGGAAAGAGUAUUAGGGUAGGACAUAGCACAUGAUUUUUUUUUUUUUAUCAUACUAUACUAUAAAAUUUACUUAAAAAAACUAUAAAACUAUACUUUGAAUUUUUUUUAUCAUACUAUACUGUGACAUUUUUAUCAUACUUUGACAAACUUUUAACAUACAAAACAAUGACAUUUUUUUUUAUCAUACUUUACUAUAAAUAAUAUUUUCAUACUAUACUAUGACAUUUUUCUAUCAUACCAGUCUAUGACAUCUUUUUAACAUACUUUACUGUGACAUUUUAGUCAUACAAUACCAUGAUUUUUUUUUAUCAUUCCAUACUAUGACAUUUUUUUUAUCAUACUAUACUUUUACAUUUUUAUCAUACUAUAUGAUGACAUAUUUAUCAUACUAAACUUUGACAUUUUUAUCAUACUAUACUAUAACAUUUUUUUUAUCAUACUUUACUUUGACAUACUGUUAACACACAAUACUAUGACAUUUUUUUUUUUAUCAUACUUUAAUUAUUUUUUCAUACCAUACUUGGACAUAUUUUUUCAUAUUUUACGAUGACAUUUUUAAUCAUACUACACUAUGACAUUUUUAUCAGCACAUGUACUUUUAAAGUCCAGAUUCAGUCUGAGUCUGGACGUAAACAGGCUUCUUUUUCUUCUUCUUGUUCUUGUUCUUCUUCUUGUUCUCCUUCUUCUUCUUCUUCUGAUUUAAGAAUGUGGCAACGCUGAACAACACCAGAACAACAAGAUGAAAACUCCACCUGAGACUCAGCAGAGCGCAGGGGAAUGCACGGUAGUCAGCCGGAUUUUAACUGCCUGCUGAGGAAAUGUAAAAGAUUUUAUUGGUGUUUAAAAGAAGAUGGGCUGAAUGAGAGCCCAUUGUGUGCAGGCCUGCAGAGGAGUGGGGGUGUUUUUUUUUUUUUUUUUGGAGUGGAGGAUUGUACAUGGUGCGAGGAGCUUUGAAACACAGGGGUUCAGGAUCAGUCUCUUCAGCUGUAAAAGAAACAUGAAGGCCAAAGCCGCCAUAAAAAGCGGCCUCCUGCCACACGGCGCUGUUUAUACUAACACCUUUUAUGUAAAGUCACCAAACAAUAAGCGAUGGUAUUUCGACUGUUCCAGAAGUUAUACUGUUCCCACUUCAAAGCAGGGGGAAAAUUUGUCCUGAGGAAAUUAAUCGCCUAGUCAUAAAUGUUCGGCAUUUAUGCUUCUCGGUUAUAAGCUGGCGGUGGUUUAUGAGUUUGCCUGUAAAAGCACAAAGAGGUUUCAGGUUGGCAAAGCAGAAAAAUGCCUUACUCAUUCAUCCUCUGGACCACUGCCUGUGCUGAAGGAUUUUCCACAGUGACGGCGUGCAGCGGCCUCCUGACCUCGCUCACUUACAACAGUACUGUAUGUUUUAAAGUGAAGAUAUUACGAUGGCUGCAGCUUUUUCACUCCGCCUGUGAUGGAUAACUGCGUAUAUUUUCAGCCCUUACUUUGGCGUCGUUCCUCAGGUGAAGGGUGUGUGAUAGAAACAUUACAUAAAGGAUCGGUUAUUGUUCUUACAGGAAAACCAUGAAACAUGUUUUAAAAUAGCCUGUAUGUGCUUUGACACGUCCCGGUGUGUACAGAAGAGUCAAUGACAUGUAUUUAGAGCUGACCUGAGGUUAUGAAUAUGUGCAAUGACAGGAAAUAACAAUCCAUGCCCUGCAGUCAUUACAGGUGUGUCAUUAUGGCGGUUUGAGGUCCGUAAGUGGAAUGAAACUUCAAACGAGGCCUCCAUGCUGUUCCACCUCCACCUGCUGUUGAAUUUGAACCCUGAUUGGCCUCGAUUUGGAUCAUCGGUUAAGCGACUUGUUGAGACACCUUCGGUGUUUACCCGUUGCACCACAUGUUUUUCACACCUGAUCUAUUUUGGUCUGUGAGUUUUGUAAUCCAGAGUGAAUGAAAAAAGACAAAGACACUUCUGAUUACGCCACCUCUCAUCUUACAAAUCCACUUUUCACCUUUUCAUUUGCCAGUCUGGGGGUAACCGUGCAAGAUUUUCUGCUAAAAAAACUCUUUAAACUUACUUUAUGAAAACCAUCAUUUCAGCCUCUGCCUGAGACACUUUGUUUGGAAAGUUCAACACAGCUUAAAGGGAUAUUCCGGGGUUAGAUUAAUUCAGGGUCAAACACACUAUAACACCGAGUUAGACCCCCCCUCAAGAGAUGAAUGUUGUCGACUGCUUGCUUCUCUAGUUAUACCAACUUUAGUAACGACCGCAGGAUAGCAAUACAGAGAGCCACGCGCUCAACCAAAACGCCACUCUAUAGCCACAAAUAAUGCUCAGAACAGCACCUAACUUCAUCAACAGGACAUAUAGGUCACAGACAUAGUACUAGCCCAGAGCUGGCCCAAGGCAUAAGCGAACUAAGCGCUUGCUUAGGGCCCCGCGGCCAGUAGGGGGCCCCCAAGAGCAAAAAAAAGAAAAAAAUGGAAACCUUUUUAUUUUUUGCAUGUAUGAGUGAUGCUUUCUGUCUGAUCAAAUAUAUAUUAUUGUAAAAAUAAAAUAAAGUAAAAACGUUUUAGUGCUUCUGAUGUAGUCCUACGAUUCUUACCGCCGAUAUGUCAAAGCUCUGCUUCCGUUAUGUUCCUCCUGCUGUGUGAUGUGCACUGAGCGUCCUGAAUGUGUUACAUUUUGAGAUUAAAAACCAUAAAUGGCCCCCUGAACAUCAUUCAUCAGUCAUUCAUUGGUAUUAUUUGCAUGGUUGCGUUGGUGUUAUUUAUGUUAUUACCUAGGCCACCCCCUUAGAUGUGUAAAGACAUGUCAGGUGCAUCAAAUUUAUACUGUAGUAGGUGUGUGAAUGAUCAACAAUCAAUAUUAUUGGCAGAAAUAGAGGGCCCCCAUUGACUUUGACUAAUUUCUUUAGUAAAGAGACUAAACACGACUCACCUACUCUCUUCCAGCAGACGUUUGUUUGUAGGGAAACCUCAGGCCAGUCCAUUACGGACUACAGCGGGGUGCCACAGCUCAAGGAAGAACAUUUAUGAUCGAGUGGCGUUUUAGAUGAGACCCUAAAUAAAUUUUACGCUGGAAUAUCCCUUUAAGGAUGUUACUUUUUUACACAGUUUUACAGUUUAAAAAUGACCCAAAAGUUAUAUUUAAGCACUUUGUUUACAUUAUAAAAGAGCAAAGAGAGACCAUUAGAUAGAUUAAAUUAGCAGAUCGAGCGACCUUAAGGCGCUUUAUUUCCAUUUUAACUCCUGUAAGAGCAUCUGGAGAGUCCUCUGUACACAGCUGCGGUGUUAGAGUUGGCAUCCUCCAGAGUUUGUUUUUCACUGAAAGAGCGUUUUGUUGUUUUAUCUGCCACACAGGGAUUCAAGAGGGCACUUAUGUGGUAUUUGGGCAUGACAUGAGGGUAUCAAGGAGGGGUGGAUCGCCCUCCACGCCUCCACUCUGAGUUCAUCCAUCUCUCCUGCAGGCUGAGUGGAUCUGCUUCACCAUAUAGAGACAUUAGGGACCCAAAAAUGUCAACAUACUCCAUGUUGACCUUCGGAGUCCAGCGGUAUGUACAUGCACGACAUACCUUGUGUGGAGCAGAGUGCUUAUCUCUCCGUGUUGCUGGGUGGAAACCCUCUUUAUUUGUCCGUGUGCUUGUCUGUAGUCAAGCAGCAGCGUUGACUGUUUAUGAAUAUUCUCCCGAUCAUAAUUUAUCAGUUUUCAGAUUCUCAUGUGACUUCAGAUGAGCUGGGUGUCCUUUCCCUUUCUGUACAUUUCUGUGUUUACUCUCAGAAA
Non-coding RNA from Xyrichtys novacula (pearly razorfish), 6209 nucleotides. The record is from the annotation of a GenBank genome assembly. Lineage: Eukaryota; Metazoa; Chordata; Actinopteri; Labriformes; Labridae.